GAUGAAGAACGUAGCGAAAUGCGAUAAGUAGUGUGAAUUGCAGAAUUCAGUGAAUCAUCGAAUCUUUGAACGCACAUUGCGCCCCUUGGUAUUCCAUGGGGCAUGGCUGUUCGAGCGUCAUUUGUACCUUCAAGCUCUGCUUGGUGUUGGGUGUUUGUCUCGCCUCUGCGUGUAGACUCGCCUCAAAAUAAUUGGCAGCCGGCGUAUUGAUUUCGGAGCGCAGUACAUCUCGCGCUUUGCACUCAUAACGACGACGUCCAAAAGUACAUUUUUACACUCUUGACCUCGGAUCAGGUAGGGAUACCCGCUGAACUUAAGCAUAUCAAUAAGCGGAGGA
RNAcentral lists this unclassified non-coding RNA (337 nucleotides) under soil metagenome. RNAcentral describes it as "partial contains 5.8S ribosomal RNA, internal transcribed spacer 2, and large subunit ribosomal RNA". The stretch from base 1 to 120 matches the Rfam family "5.8S ribosomal RNA", at positions 35 to 154 of the family's 154-position model. The record is from RNAcentral.